ACAGAGACAGACAGACAGACAGACAGACAGACAGACAGACAGACAGACAGACAGACAGACACACAACACUCUUUGACCCAGUCUGAUGUAGACAAGUCUAACCCUUGUUAGCAGGGGUCUGACCCACGCUGCUACCCACCUCUUCCUUAAUGGUAUCCUGUAUAAGGCCUGGGAGACCCAACCAGCUCUCUGUCUGGAUAGUGUACGGGUAUAUAUACAGUAUAUGUGACUCUGUGAACUGAUUAUAUUCUUCUAUGUUUGUGUCUUUUGGUGUCUGCUCUGUUAUUGUUCAGUUUCUACACCCUGUUUUUUAAUCCAGUUUCGUCACCCUGUGUUUUAAUCCAGUUUCUACACCCUGAGUUUUAAUCCAGUUUCAUCACCCUGAGUUUUAAUCCAGUUUCUACACCCUGAGUUUUAAUCCAGUUUCUACACCCUGUGUUUUAAUCCAGUUUCUACACCCUGAGUUUUAAUCCAGUUUCUACACCCUGAGUUUUAAUCCAGUUUCUACACCAUGUGUUUUAAUCCAGUUUCGUCACCCUGUGUUUUAAUCCAGUUUCAUCACCCUGAGUUUUAAUCCAGUUUCUACACCCUGAGUUUUAAUCCAGUUUCUACACCCUGUGUUUUUCUGAAGCAACAUACAAAUUAAUCCAGUGUGGAAAUUGUAUUUAUAAUCCUGGUUGUGACAACCCACAGGUUGUGCGGGCUUUUUUUAAUCAGCCCAAAUACUUAAACUAACGAAUCAAAGUUAGUUAUUCAAACUCAAAACUCAUUCAAACUCAUGUGUUUCAAACAGCAGAGGUUAACUAACCUAUUCAUGUCAAUGCAGGACAGUUCACUUAUACCCAGCAGCUAUAGCUCCACAAAAAAACUAUGCACACCUGUGUUUUGUGUGUGGAAUGAUGAAUGACCAUAUUAGGCUUUAGUUAGUAAUGAAAGGUCCUAUGGUGAAUGACCAUAUUAGGCUUUAGUUAGUAAUGAAAGGUUGUAUGAUAAAUGACCACAUUAGGCUUUAGUUAGUACUGAAAGGUUGUAUGAUAAAUGACCAUAUUAGGCUUUAGUUAGUAAUGAAAGGUUGUAUGAUAAAUUACCAUAUUAGGCUUUAGUUAGUAUCUGCUGCAUGGGGUUACAUGAGGAAUCUCUCUCCACACACAUCAGUUCCAAUGAAAUACACUCAUCUCAAAUGUGUGUGUGUGUGUGUGUGUGUGUGUGUGCGUGUGCGUGUCUGUGUAUGUCUGUCCUUGUGUGUGUGUCUGUGAGUGCAUGCGUGUGUGUCUGUGUGUGUGUGCGUGCAUGUGUGUGUGUCUGUGUGUUUGUUGUCAAGAGACAAAACAGCAUGCUUCAACAGACUGGCUACGAAGUCCAUUCUCCUCUCUCUUUCUACUCUUCUCUUAGUUCUCUCUCUCUCUCACUCAUUCUCUCUCUCUCUCUCUCUCUCUCUCUCUCUCUCUC
This is a long non-coding RNA of Oncorhynchus tshawytscha (Chinook salmon), 1449 nucleotides long. Lineage: Eukaryota; Metazoa; Chordata; Actinopteri; Salmoniformes; Salmonidae. The record is from Ensembl.